RNAcentral lists this ribosomal RNA (526 nucleotides) under uncultured marine eukaryote. RNAcentral's name for it is "SSU rRNA". It matches the Rfam family "Eukaryotic small subunit ribosomal RNA", at positions 614 to 1144 of the family's 1831-position model. The record is from RNAcentral.
UGCGGUUAAAAAGCUCGUAGUUGGAUUUCUGCUGAAGACGGCCGGUCCGCUCUAUGAGCGCGUAUCUGGUUCGGCUUUGGCAUCCUCGUGGGGAACGUAACUGUGCUUGAUUGCAUGGUGCGGAAUUCACGACUUUUACUUUGAGGAAAUUAGAGUGUUCACGGCAGGCAAGCGCCUUGAAUAUAUUAGCAUGGAAUAAUAAUAUAGGACUUUGGUUCUAUUUUGUUGGUUUCUAGGACUAAAGUAAUGAUUAAUAGGGAUAAUUGGGGGCAUUUGUAUUAACGCGUCAGAGGUGGAAUUCUUGGAUUGCGUUACGACAACCUACUGCGGAAGCAUUUGCCAAGGAUGUUUUCAUUGAUCAAGAACGAAAGUAUGGGGAUCGAAGAUGAUUAGAUACCGUCGUAGUCUAUACCAUAAACUAUGCCGACUAGAGAUUGGAGAUAGUUCUUUUUAUGACUUCUUCAGCACCUCAUGAGAAAUCAAAGUCUUUGGGUUCCGGGGGGAGUAUGGUCGCAAGGCUGAAACU